This 267-nucleotide ribosomal RNA is filed under the name Pseudomonas putida. RNAcentral describes it as "partial 16S ribosomal RNA". It matches the Rfam family "Bacterial small subunit ribosomal RNA", at positions 1163 to 1429 of the family's 1533-position model. The record is from RNAcentral. Lineage: Bacteria; Pseudomonadati; Pseudomonadota; Gammaproteobacteria; Pseudomonadales; Pseudomonadaceae.
UGGAGGGAAGGUGGGGAUGACGUCAAGUCAUCAUGGCCCUUACGGCCUGGGCUACACACGUGCUACAAUGGUCGGUACAGAGGGUCGCCAAGCCGCGAGGUGGAGCUAAUCUCACAAAACCGAUCGUAGUCCGGAUCGCAGUCUGCAACUCGACUGCGUGAAGUCGGAAUCGCUAGUAAUCGCGAAUCAGAAUGUCGCGGUGAAUACGUUCCCGGGCCUUGUACACACCGCCCGUCACACCAUGGGAGUGGGUUGCACCAGAAGUAG